AGAGUUUGAUCCUGGCUCAGAUUGAACGCUGGCGGCGUGCUUAACACAUGCAAGUCGAUCGGUAACGCGGGGGCACCCCUGGCGACGAGAGGCGGACGGGUGAGGAACGCUUGGGAAUCUGCCUAUCAGCGGAGGACAACACGGGGAAACUCGUGCUAAUACCCGCAUACGCUCUACGGAGGAAAGCCGGGGACCGCAAGGCCUGGCACUGAUAGAUGAGCCCAAGUCGGAUUAGCUAGUUGGCGGGGUAACGGCCCACCAAGGCGACGAUCCGUAGCUGGUCUGAGAGGACGAUCAGCCACACUGGAACUGAGACACGGUCCAGACUCCUACGGGAGGCAGCAGUGGGGAAUAUUGGACAAUGGGGGAAACCCUGAUCCAGCGACGCCGCGUGGGUGAAGAAGGCCUGCGGGUUGUAAAGCCCUUUCGGUAGGGACGAAAGCUCUCGACCUAACACGUCGGGAGGUUGACUUAACCUACAAAAGAAGCACCGGCUAACUCUGUGCCAGCAGCCGCGGUAAUACAGAGGGUGCGAGCGUUAAUCGGAAUUACUGGGCGUAAAGCGCACGUAGGCGGCUUGGUAUGUCGGGUGUGAAAUCCCCGGGCUCAACCUGGGAACUGCAUCCGAAACUGCCUUGCUCGAGUAUGGGAGAGGGAAGUGGAAUUUCCGAUGUAGCGGUGAAAUGCGUAGAUAUCGGAAGGAACAUCAGUGGCGAAGGCGACUUCCUGGACCAAUACUGACGCUCAGGUGCGAAAGCGUGGGGAGCAAACAGGAUUAGAUACCCUGGUAGUCCACGCCCUAAACGAUGACAACUGGAUGUCGGGAGGGUUUGCCUUCCGGUGUCGUAAACAAGGUAGCCG
This 861-nucleotide ribosomal RNA is filed under the name uncultured Sinobacteraceae bacterium. RNAcentral's name for it is "bacterial SSU rRNA". It matches the Rfam family "Bacterial small subunit ribosomal RNA", at positions 8 to 864 of the family's 1533-position model. Lineage: Bacteria; Pseudomonadati; Pseudomonadota; Gammaproteobacteria; Nevskiales; Nevskiaceae. The record is from RNAcentral.